GAGUUUGAUUUGGCCAGGAUGAACGCUGGCGGCGUGCCUAAUACAUGCAAGUCGAGCGAACGGACGAGAAGCUUGCUUCUCUGAUGUUAGCGGCGGACGGGUGAGUAACACGUGGGUAACCUACCUAUAAGACUGGGGAUAACUCCGGGAAACCGGGGCUAAUACCGGAUAACACAUGAAACCGCAUGGUUUCAUGAUGAAAGACGGUCUUGCUGUCACUUAUAGAUGGAUCCGCGCUGCAUUAGCUAGUUGGUAAGGUAACGGCUUACCAAGGCAACGAUGCAUAGCCGACCUGAGAGGGUGAUCGGCCACACUGGAACUGAGACACGGUCCAGACUCCUACGGGAGGCAGCAGUAGGGAAUCUUCCGCAAUGGGCGAAAGCCUGACGGAGCAACGCGCGUGAGUGAUGAAGGUCUUCGGAUCGUAAAAACUCUGUUAUUAGGGAAGAACAUAUGUGUAAGUAACUGUGCACAUCUUGACGGUACCUAAUCAGAAAGCCACGGCUAACUACGUG
Molecule: ribosomal RNA, 515 nt
Filed under: uncultured microorganism
Description: bacterial SSU rRNA
Rfam family: Bacterial small subunit ribosomal RNA
Source: RNAcentral